Carcharodon carcharias (great white shark) is the source of this 2435-nucleotide long non-coding RNA. RefSeq lists it as uncharacterized. The record is from RefSeq and is a predicted model, not a curated record. The transcript has 2 exons. Lineage: Eukaryota; Metazoa; Chordata; Chondrichthyes; Lamniformes; Lamnidae.
CGGCAGGAAUUUAAGAUGCAGUCUUAAGCAUAGUUCCCUAGCCUCUUGGCCAGAUAACAUAGGGAUUGUUCAGUGACUAAUACCAUUUCUAUAAUUGCGAAAUUACCCUGGUAUGUAGCUAAUUGCACAAUUCUAGUCUAGCACUUUGAAUGUAAACUGAAGAACUUGCAGUGUUACUCUCGAAGCUGCGUGAAAUUUUAAUCUCUAGACUCACAAUUCAAUUCACAGAUUCAAACUACCGUGCUUUAUCUCCAGUAAAGGGCAACUGUGACAUAGGCCUCUUCAAAAUGGCACUCCCUCGGGAUCAAGGAAGGCUUGCUUCCACUCCAGUUUGAUCUGUCCAAUGUGCGAUCUGCAGACUCUGCCACAUGCAGAGCGGGUGGUGCUUGGAGGAUUGGAGACGGGUUGUCUGGAGCUUUUUUCACUCUCUCCACCACCUUGAACUGCAUGUCCCAGAUGACAUCUCUAGGUGCUUGGUGCCUUCCUGAAUAAAACUUCUCCCAACUUGGUUGGUCACCAUGAGUCAGUGGAGAUGUGGACAUCUUUGUGGACAUCCCUGAAGCAUUUUGGUGAAGGUGGCUUUGAGUGAUUAGCACCUCGAUGCUGGGCAUGUUGGCUUAAUUGGGAGAAGUAAAUGGCUGUCUCACUGGCUUUAAAAUGGUCUCUCUGCCUCAUUUGCUGCAGACAACAACAGCCAUAUUUGGGGCUCCAAAGUUAGUCAGAAGAUUUCAGAAUCAGACUCCUGGAGGUUAAGUACUAUACCUUUCUUUUCACCCAAGCACGUCCUGGGACAAGGAAAGCAAUUUUACCUGUAUACAGCUGCAAAUACCUGUCUCCCACAGACUUCAAAAUGGCUACCUCACCUGAUGUAAAAUUCCUCAACAGGCAUAUCUGGUGCUGCAAAAUUUAAAUCAGCUUGCAGAGUCACGAAAUGGGCCUUUUCUGGGUUUUCAAGCUCUUCCUUGCAAAAAAAAAGUCCUGUUCAUUUGGAUAUGCUUGGAAAAUUUGGUUCAAAGUUUUUGAAGAACAUAUUGUGUUACCUUUGAGUGCGAUCGAAUGCCUCUCCUCGCAUUUGAUUCAGAAUGACAAACUCGGUCACAGGACCCAAUGUCAAGCUGACAUGAAAUGGCGAUGCAAGAUGACGUGGCAUGAAAUGGCGACGUGAAACAAUGCAACCGAGGAGAUGCAAAACGACGCAGAACGAUGAUGUGCAAUGACGAAACGGAAUGACUUAAACAACUUAAAAUCGAAAUUGAAGACUUAACUCGGGAAUAUGGGCCCUGAAACUACAUGACUUUAAAUCAAAAUGGUUUAAAACAGGGCAACUCAAAGGAAGGGCUUAUUGAGUAUAACUUACCGUGAAUAAUUCUCAAACAAAAAACAGAGUUGAAUGUGCCUGCAUGGGUGGGAUUCUGGACACUGUGGUAAAGUGGCCAUGUUAAAAGGUGGCAGUGUAAAUGCCGAGCAGAAGAGGAGGAAGGUUAAAUUAAACUCCAAGUAAGUUACUUGGAAAUGUCUCUAGGAUGUGUACAUUUAUUACUGCAGUGUUUCAUUCUCACCUACAAGGGAUGUAAGGAUGCCAUUCCUUAUGUGAGAAACUUCAUGUUGUAUAACACCCUCACUUCUAAGAUGACUUCAGUAAAGUUUUGCAAUAAGAGAUUUGGUGUUGCAAAAAGCUGUGAACUGAAUCAAGGAAUUCUGAAUUUUAACAGUUGUUCCACGUCAGAAAUUUCGGCACUAGCCUCGGUUAAAUAUCACAGUGGCAGAUAAUGCUACAGCUUAAAAGGGUGAAUUUGCUCGAAGCUUUGCCUGCUCCAUUGCCAUAACUUCAGCGGGAUUGGUAGAAUCCCUGUUUAUGUGUAUAAAUGGGCUUCCGCCAAUGUUAAGGCAACAAAGGAGGAAAAGUCCAAGAAAAUUCAGCCACAUAGUUUUGGUAUUAACAUCAAAUAGCUAUAUUAUCAAAUACGAAUAUUACGUAGUACUAAAAUUAUACCAAAUUGUAAGCCUUCUCCUUUUCUGAGUGAUAUAUAGCAGAGGGUUCUUACUGCUCAGGAAAUAACGGAGACAGGCAAAUUCAUAUUGUUUCAAAUUUGGCAAGUAAGGAAACAAAGAAGAAAAUAAUAUGUACUUACAGAACAUUGACCUCAAUAGGAUAAGGCUUCCGAAUGGUUUUAAGUGCCAUUUUGAAGCAAUUUUUGUUGUUGUCUCAUGAUCUGGGAGGAAAUAACUAUUUAAAUUUCCUGUACUGUGUGUGGCCAUUUCUCCAGUGCUCUGUUCAAUUCUCAUAUGCCAGUUUAUAAAUGUCAAAAAUACAUUUAAAUUAGUCUGGUGAUGUCCUAUUCAGCAUUGUUAAUCUUCACCCUGCACCAUUGAAUCAGGUCGUUUUUUUUUAAUACCAUUGACAGAAACCACACAAAUAAAAUCUUGCCCUGAAA